Molecule: ribosomal RNA, 253 nt
Filed under: uncultured bacterium
Lineage: Bacteria
Description: partial 16S ribosomal RNA
Rfam family: Bacterial small subunit ribosomal RNA
Source: RNAcentral
GACGAAGGGGGCUAGCGUUGUUCGGAAUUACUGGGCGUAAAGCGAGUGUAGGUGGUUUGCCAAGUUGGGUGUGAAAGCCUUGAGCUCAACUCAAGAAAUGCACUCAGUACUGGCAGACUAGAGGACCGGAGAGGAGAGUGGAAUUCCCAGUGUAGUGGUGAAAUACGUAGAGAUUGGGAAGAACACCAGUGGCGAAGGCGGCUAUCUGGACGGUUUCUGACGCUAAGGCUCGAAAGCGUGGGGAGCAAACAGG